AUUACAGGCGAAAGCCCAAAAUUCAAAAAACUUGACGGUGUCACAAUCUACCUAGAGGAGCCUGUCUCAUAAUCGACAACCCACGAUAAACCUAACCGCUUUUAGAUUUUUCCAGCCUAUAUACCGCCGUCACAAGCCCACCUUUAAAAGUUUAAAAGUAGGCUAAAUAAUAAUCUAUUAAAAAGUCAGGUCAAGGUGUAGCUUAUAAAGCGGAGAAGAUGGGCUACAUUAUUUAAAAUAAAUAAUACAGAUAUCUCAUGAAAAAAAAAA
This 270-nucleotide ribosomal RNA is filed under the name Centrosaura apodema. Its description in RNAcentral is "partial 12S small subunit ribosomal RNA". It matches the Rfam family "Bacterial small subunit ribosomal RNA", at positions 879 to 1272 of the family's 1533-position model. The record is from RNAcentral. Lineage: Eukaryota; Metazoa; Chordata; Lepidosauria; Squamata; Gymnophthalmidae.